ACAGUAUCCCUGAGAGUUAGGGAGAAUGUGUUUAUUUGAUUAGCUCCCCCUGAAAGGCAAAUAUCAAUGUGGCCAAGAAUUUGGACUUUGAACCCAGGCAACCUUCCCAUUGCUUGAAAGGUUAGCUCUUGCUUUCCAAAGCAGGCCAUGAAAAGAUAUGUGUCCUCUUCCCUGAUGUGUUCAAAGAGGGAUGGACUUGUCAAGACUUCUCUUUUGAACCUGGAAAUAAUCGAUGUAGUGCCUACUGCAAGCCACAGAUUAAUAUUUUAAAGGAUCCCUUUCAUAAGGCUUCAAUGAUGACGUUUUAAUCGGUCCUGUUUUAGGGCAACUUCUCAAUCCGUACAGCCAAGAUGCAGCAGCACGUGUGUGAAACCAUCAUCCGCAUCUUUAAGAGACACGGAGCUGUUCAGUUGUGUACCCCACUACUACUUCCCCGAAACAGACAAAUAUAUGAGCACAACGAAGCUGCCCUAUUCAUGGACCACAGCGGGAUGCUGGUGAUGCUUCCUUUUGACCUGCGGAUCCCUUUUGCAAGAUAUGUGGCAAGAAAUAAUAUAUUGAAUUUAAAACGAUACUGCAUAGAACGUGUGUUCAGGCCGCGCAAAUUAGAUCGAUUUCAUCCCAAAGAACUUCUGGAGUGUGCAUUUGAUAUUGUCACUUCUACCACCAACAGCUUUCUGCCAACUGCUGAAAUUAUCUACACUAUCUAUGAAAUCAUCCAAGAGUUUCCAGCACUUCAGGAAAGAAAUUACAGUAUUUAUUUGAACCAUACCAUGUUAUUGAAAGCAAUACUCUUACACUGUGGGAUCCCAGAAGAUAAACUCAGUCAAGUCUACAUUAUUCUGUAUGAUGCUGUGACAGAGAAGCUGACGAGGAGAGAAGUGGAAGCUAAAUUUUGUAAUCUGUCUUUGUCUUCUAAUAGUGUCUUGAUCAAUUUGGGCUUGGUUUACAAGGUGCAGCAGCACAAUGGAAUCAUCUUCCAGUUUGUAGCGUUCAUCAAACGAAGGCAAAGGGCUGUACCUGAAAUCCUUGCAGCUGGAGGCAGAUAUGACCUGCUGAUUCCCCAGUUUAGAGGGCCACAAGCUCUGGGGCCAGUUCCCACUGCCAUUGGGGUCAGUAUAGCUAUAGACAAGAUAUCUGCUGCUGUCCUCAACAUGGAGGAACCUGUUACAAUAAGCUCUUGUGACCUCCUGGUUGUAAGUGUUGGCCAGAUGUCUAUGUCCAGGGCCAUCAACCUAACGCAGAAACUCUGGACAGCAGGCAUCACAGCAGAAAUCAUGUACGACUGGUCACAGUCCCAAGAGGAAUUACAAGAGUACUGCAGACAUCACGAAAUCACCUAUGUGGCCCUUGUCUCGGAUAAAGAAGGAAGCCAUGUCAAGGUUAAGUCUUUCGAGAAGGAAAGGCAGACAGAGAAGCGUGUGCUGGAGACUGAACUUGUGGACCACGUACUGCAGAAACUGAGGACUAAAGUCGGUGAUGAAAGGAAUGGCAGAGACGCUUCCGAUAAUCUUGCAGUGCAAAAUCUGAAGGGGUCAUUUUCUAAUGCUUCAGGUUUGUUUGAAAUCCAUGGAGCAACAGUGGUUCCCAUUGUGAGUGUGCUAGCCCCGGAGAAGCUGUCAGCCAGCACUAGGAGGCGCUAUGAAACUCAGGUACAAACUCGACUUCAGACCUCCCUUGCCAACUUACAUCAGAAAAGCAGUGAAAUUGAAAUUCUGGCUGUGGAUCUACCCAAAGAAACAAUAUUACAGUUUUUAUCAUUAGAGUGGGAUGCUGAUGAACAGGCAUUUAACACAACUGUAAAGCAGCUGCUGUCACGCCUGCCAAAGCAAAGAUACCUCAAAUUAGUCUGUGAUGAAAUUUAUAACAUCAAAGUAGAAAAAAAGGUGUCUGUGCUAUUUCUGUACAGCUACAGAGAUGACUACUACAGAAUCUUAUUUUAACCCUAAAGAACUGUCGUUAACCUCAUUCAAACAGACAGAGGCUUAUACUGGAAUAAUGGAAUGUUGCACAUUCAUCGUAAUUUAAAAUUAAAUUCUAAGAAGAGGCUGGGUGCAGUGGCUCACACCUGUAAUCCCAGCACUUUGGGAAGCCAAGGCAGGAAGACUGCUUGAAACCAGGAGUUCGAGACCAGCCUGAGCAACAAAGCAAGACCCCAUCUCUAUAAAAACUAAAAAAAUUAGUUGGGCAUGGUGGCACAUGCCUGUAGUCCCAGCUACUCCAGAGGCUGAGAUGGAUCAUCUGAGCCUCAGGAGGUUGAGGCUGCAGUGAGCUGUGAUUGCGCCACUGCACUCCAGUCUGGGACAACAGAGCAAGACCCUGUCUUAAAAAAAAAAAAAAAAAAAAAAUUUUUCUAAGAAGCUGUCCUACAAAGUUGAGCUUUGUUAGUUUUUCAUGUGUAAUAUAUUAUAAAUUUAUCUUUUGGGAUAUAAUAAAUGCUUUCAUAUA
Molecule: small RNA, 2448 nt
Filed under: Pongo abelii (Sumatran orangutan)
Lineage: Eukaryota; Metazoa; Chordata; Mammalia; Primates; Hominidae
Description: retained intron
Source: RNAcentral